UACGUAGGGGGCAAGCGUUGUCCGGAAUCAUUGGGCGUAAAGCGCGUGUAGGCGGUCCGGUAAGUCCGCUGUGAAAGUCGGGGGCUCAACCCUCGAAUGCCGGUGGAUACUGUCGGGCUAGAGUACGGAAGAGGCGAGUGGAAUUCCUGGUGUAGCGGUGAAAUGCGCAGAUAUCGGGAGGAACACCAAUGGCGAAGGCAGCUCGCUGGGACGUUACUGACGCUGAGACGCGAAAGCGUGGGGAGCAAACAGG
RNAcentral lists this ribosomal RNA (253 nucleotides) under uncultured bacterium. RNAcentral describes it as "partial 16S ribosomal RNA". It matches the Rfam family "Bacterial small subunit ribosomal RNA", at positions 524 to 776 of the family's 1533-position model. The record is from RNAcentral.